This 445-nucleotide ribosomal RNA is filed under the name uncultured bacterium. RNAcentral describes it as "partial 16S ribosomal RNA". It matches the Rfam family "Bacterial small subunit ribosomal RNA", at positions 354 to 796 of the family's 1533-position model. The record is from RNAcentral.
GUAGGGAAUAUUGGGCAAUGGAGGCAACUCUGACCCAGCCAUGCCGCGUGCAGGAUGACGGCCCUCUGGGUUGUAAACUGCUUUUAUACGGGAAGAAAAAAUACUACGUGUAGUAUACUGACGGUACCGUAAGAAUAAGGAUCGGCUAACUCCGUGCCAGCAGCCGCGGUAAUACGGAGGAUCCAAGCGUUGUCCGGAUUUAUUGGGUUUAAAGGGUGCGUAGGCGGAUCUUUAAGUUAGUGGUGAAAGCCUGCAGCUUAACUGUAGAAUUGCCAUUGAAACUGAAGAGCUUGAAUGUGGUUAAAGUAGGCGGAAUGUAUCAUGUAGCGGUGAAAUGCUUAGAUAUGAUACAGAACACCGAUAGCGAAGGCAGCUUGCUGAACCAUUAUUGACGCUGAGGCACGAAAGCGUGGGGAGCGAACAGGAUUAGAAACCCGGGUAGUCC